AGGACCGUAGUUAAGUAUAACAUUUGAUUUGCAUUCAAAAAGUAUUGAAAAUAUUCAAUCUGUCUUA
RNAcentral lists this transfer RNA (67 nucleotides) under Anabropsis shii. RNAcentral's name for it is "tRNA-Ala". It matches the Rfam family "tRNA". Rfam says of the family: Transfer RNA (tRNA) molecules are approximately 80 nucleotides in length. The record is from RNAcentral. Lineage: Eukaryota; Metazoa; Arthropoda; Insecta; Orthoptera; Anostostomatidae.